GCCUGGCCUGCCUACAGACAUCCCCUUCCCUGUAGAGCUCACUCCAUGCCCGUCCUCGUGUCCUUGGCUGUCCUCAGUGAGUGGCCGUGGAUGGCCACUUUGCAGUCACCUGGGCAGCUCAGCCCAGUGUGGAUGCUAGUAUCCCAACCCUGGAACCCUCGGGUAUGCCUCGGUGUUGGGCUUGGAACACAGAGUCCAGGCUGUUGAUUGGGAGCCUGCUGGAGGCCACUGUGUUAAGAGACUGAGCAUAUAGCACUGGAUCAGGCUGAGGGGUAAGAUUCAGGGCCUUGCCUGUCCUCUCUGACGCCUGGGUCUUUGUAGGAGACUUGGGCCGUUGUGGUCCAUGCUGUUGGCGGAGAUGGCUGGCCUCUUCACCAGAACCACCCUGUCAGAUGUGCAAAAGCCUUUCAUUUUGUUCUUAAACAGACUCCCAUUUUCUUGGAUGGUUUCCUGAUCUUUGGCUUUGGCUUUCUUCUGAAGGAAGUAGUUUAUAAUAUGUAGAUUGUUCCUUGAGAAGGAAAAUCUCAGAAGCAUUCUGUUAGUUUUAUUGCUUCAUCCUUAACGCUGAGGAAAGUGUGCGACUCAAAAACAUCUGGACCUCCACAGUUGGCUGUGCCCUGGAGGACCGGUGGAACUGCUCAGUAGAAGGUGUGUUAUUUAUUUAUGGCAGGGUAGAGAGUUAGAUACAGAGCCCCACAUGCUAGGCAAGUGACCUACCACUGAGUUCCCUCCCAGUCCCUAAAGGUGUGUUAUGCAGUAGCAUGUCUGUGUGUGUGACUGACCCUGUGUGUGUGUUGAAGACUGGCUUGUGGGCUGUUUGUUUUAUGCCUUCCCCAUCCCCAGUCCCCACCCUGUAGAGUUUGGCCAUUGAUUGGGUCUUCUAGUUUUCCCGUAAACUGGACAUCAGUACUCAGGCUUUGAUAAAUUACUUGCUUUCCCUAUUUCUGGGUAGCAUCGAAUAAGGGCAUCAAGAAGACGAGUGGCAUAGCUCAGUGACGGAGUAAUUGUCUAGCAUGCAGGGGGUCGACCCUCAGUGCCAUGUCAACCUGGCUGUGGUGACGGAUGCAUGCCUUUAAUCCUAGCCCUCGGAAGGAAGGAUUCGAAGUCAAGGAUCAUCCCUGGCUACGCAGGGAGUUGGAGGUCAGUUUGGGCCACAAAGGAAUUUUAUUUUAAAAACAAAAUACCAACUCCAAUAAAUGCUGACACUGACUUUAUCAACCAAGUUGGCUUAC
Molecule: long non-coding RNA, 1232 nt
Filed under: Mus musculus (house mouse)
Lineage: Eukaryota; Metazoa; Chordata; Mammalia; Rodentia; Muridae
Description: long non-coding RNA chr4:125110280-125111512
Source: RNAcentral